GACGAACGCUGGCGGCGUGCCUAAUACAUGCAAGUCGAACGCUGAAGGAAGGAGCUUGCUCUUUCUGGAUGAGUUGCGAACGGGUGAGUAACGCGUAGGUAACCUGCCUGGUAGCGGGGGAUAACUAUUGGAAACGAUAGCUAAUACCGCAUAAAAUUGAUUAUUGCAUGAUAGUCAAUUAAAAGGUGCAACUGCACCACUACCAGAUGGACCUGCGUUGUAUUAGCUAGUUGGUGGGGUAACGGCUCACCAAGGCGACGAUACAUAGCCGACCUGAGAGGGUGAUCGGCCACACUGGGACUGAGACACGGCCCAGACUCCUACGGGAGGCAGCAGUAGGGAAUCUUCGGCAAUGGACGGAAGUCUGACCGAGCAACGCCGCGUGAGGGAAGAAGGUUUUCGGAUCGUAAAGCUCUGUUGUAAGAGAAGAACGAGUGUGAGAGUGGAAAGUUCACACUGUGACGGUAUCUUACCAGAAAGGGACGGCUAACUACGUG
RNAcentral lists this ribosomal RNA (497 nucleotides) under uncultured bacterium. RNAcentral describes it as "partial 16S ribosomal RNA". It matches the Rfam family "Bacterial small subunit ribosomal RNA", at positions 28 to 507 of the family's 1533-position model. The record is from RNAcentral.